UUACCUGGUCUAAACCCAUGUGCAUGCCCUCACAAAAUGCCAAACUUCAACGCAUUAUUGAAUCACCAGAUAAGAUGCAAAGGAAAAGACACUUUUUGAAUGGUGGAAAAUUUGAGUUCCUCAAAGAGAACAUAGCAUAUCUUUCUCCAUUUCAUUAUAUUUAUGCAGGCAUGUUGUUGGAACAUGAGAAACCAAAGCUUUAUAAUGUUCUAACGAAUAAAUAGUUCGGUUUUGCAGUUUUCGUGAAAUGAUGCAGCCGGUCGCAGCAAUAGUUCGUUCUUCAGAAUACAUUCCUAUUCCCCCCAACUCAAUAUGCUGUUAGAAAAGAGCUGAGAGUUGUUCUACAAUGACGAAACCUAGCUGUUUUCGAGAUUGUAAAAGAAGGUAGCUACAGAAAACUUGGAAAAUCUUGUGCCGUUUUGCUUUAGCACGAAGAUACGAGAAGUACUCUAGUAAGAAACUCAGUUUCCUAUUCCGUAUUUCAUGUUAUUUUGUAUUACUAUGUUCUGUACUUUAAGAGAAUUGCUCUUGGGAGUCAUUCUAUAGAUGUAAUGCAUCAAUUUGAUCUAAUAAUGAGUCAUUAACAUUAUGUUCUUGCUAAAUAACAUGAACACGAACAUGAACAGCAGUACAAGCAACCGGCCUCUUAUUCGGAACCUUUUUGUGAAUUCAUUUUAGGAGCAGAAAGAAAACAUUGGAGGCAAUCCAUCUAGGAUAUGCGAUCGGAAUUACUGAGUGCCAAGGUGUAUGAUCUCUUUCUGAGCACCCUCGAUGAACUUCGGAUUCAGUAGGGAACACAGAUCCUGUGUGUAUUAGGACCAGCUACCAUAUCAUGCCAAAGCAGAUCGGAGAGUGCCAUUGUCAACUCUCCCACUUUUCCUAUAAGGGAAAAUAAGCAGACUUUGGUAAGAACAUAUGCACUAAUCCGUCGUUGUUAAGCCAAAAAUCAGGAGGCGGACUAAUCAAGCAAGGCAAUAUUGUUACAUAUGCAAGGAAUAGAUGCACUCAAACGAUAAGUCAUGUUCGAUUCUACUAGAAAAAUAAUGUCUAAAGCAUGUUUGGAUGUAUUUUAAGGCUUUCGAAACAUUAGAUUGUACAUACCAUCUCCGAUGGGAUGUUCGUCCCACAUGAUGAUUGGCAAUAUCGGUAGCGUACUUCCUAUAUACAUAAUUUCUGCUGCACCUUUGGCUUCCAUGACGGUAAGAUUGGCAGUUUUGACACUUUUAAGACGCCCUUGCUUGACCAACUUAGGUGCUAAUUCAAGAAGCCUUUUUGCAGUACAUCCGCUUAGGAUCCUAUCGAAUGAAGGAAAAAUAAGUUCCUUAUCAUUGGUUAUAAAUGCGACAUUCACAUUAGGGCCCUCCGCAAUAAAACCAUCAUCGUCAACCCAAAUCGAAGCAUAUGCACCCUUGUCUUCAGCUUCCAUUAUUGAAAGAACAUUCGGCAAGUAAUUUACAUUCUUCAUUGUAGCAAACUGAGGUGCUUUCAUAGGGAUAGUCGAAGUUAUCACUUUAACCCCGUUUUUGCAUUGCGAGACAACGUCGGCAAUGACUACAGCGUAGAAUGCAGAAGUAGGGCAUUUGGCAGGAGAAAGCAAGAAAUUACCAGGACCGGCACUCAACCAGUACCGUAGAGUUCCUUCCUUGCACUGUGAUGCGGCGGUUAAUUGCACAAGAAUACUACGAAGAGUUGAUCGAGGAAAUGGAAGGGUGAUUCUUGCUUUCGAUGCCGACCGAAGGAAGCGAUCUAAAUGAGCAUCCAGCUCAUAGAGGUAACUACAAAAAUAGGAUAGGUUAUAUUAAGCUUUAUAAACAUAUAUUAACUAAUGCCUCAAAGAGAUAUCAUGAACUCGUGGGUUCAUCUAACAGGUUGGGGAUUCGAAUCUCGACACCUAUAACACCUCUCUCGAUCCCAAACUAUCGGUCUCCUUUGUACCGAAAAUAGGGAAACCAGGGACCUACCCAUCUAGAAUGACUGCUGUAUCGAAUACACCGUGGCCUCGAUGAACCAUGUGAUCAUCUAUGGGAAUUACCAUCAUGGCAGGGUCAAGAAUGAUCCCUCCGAAAACGCUGGAAUACAUAGCCGGAUAUGGUUUCUUCUUCACCGGACUCCACUUCUCGUGCAGCUUUUCG
This 2132-nucleotide long non-coding RNA is filed under the name Gossypium barbadense (sea-island cotton). RNAcentral describes it as "long non-coding RNA (GBAR_LNC016668)". Lineage: Eukaryota; Viridiplantae; Streptophyta; Magnoliopsida; Malvales; Malvaceae. The record is from RNAcentral.